RNAcentral lists this long non-coding RNA (467 nucleotides) under Gopherus agassizii (Agassiz's desert tortoise). RNAcentral describes it as "lncRNA (ENSGAGG00000013033.1)". Lineage: Eukaryota; Metazoa; Chordata; Testudines; Testudinidae. The record is from RNAcentral.
UAGUCAGGCAAGAGCUGACCAGGCUCAAACACCAAUAUAGUGUGAUCGUUCACACCGCCUAGACUAGCGGUGCUGCCAAACUGCCCGUGCUACGGCAUGAGAUUUGGCUGCAUCUAGAAAGAACGAGAUGUCAGAGCUGGGUUGUGGUGACUUCACUUAAGCACAAUGCAUUGGAUACAAUUUUAUCUGAUGUCGAAGGAGGGCUGAACUUGCUGUCUAUUGUGAAGUUGGCGUCAGUCAGAUUGGUGAUACGAAUUGGAGACUUUGGGGCUAAAGAUAUGCAGGACCCACUUUUUCCCUGGGGCAAUACUUUGGAGUGCCAGUGCCUGCACACACAGGCAUUCACCACCUGCUUCUGGCCUCCUUCCAUGCACCACAUCUACACACAACACUAUAACAUCCUUAACACUCUUGAGAAAUGCACAACUCUUUCCAACAGACUGCAAAAGCAGAAGACAACAUUCUAG